Molecule: ribosomal RNA, 492 nt
Filed under: uncultured bacterium
Lineage: Bacteria
Description: partial 16S ribosomal RNA
Rfam family: Bacterial small subunit ribosomal RNA
Source: RNAcentral
AGUGAACGCUGGCGGUAGGCCUAACACAUGCAAGUCGAACGGCAGCACAGUAAGAGCUUGCUCUUACGGGUGGCGAGUGGCGGACGGGUGAGGAAUACAUCGGAAUCUACUUUUUCGUGGGGGAUAACGUAGGGAAACUUACGCUAAUACCGCAUACGACCUACGGGUGAAAGCAGGGGAUCUUCGGACCUUGCGCGAUUGAAUGAGCCGAUGUCGGAUUAGCUAGUUGGCGGGGUAAAGGCCCACCAAGGCGACGAUCCGUAGCUGGUCUGAGAGGAUGAUCAGCCACACUGGAACUGAGACGCGGUCCAGACUCCUACGGGAGGCAGCAGUGGGGAAUAUUGGACAAUGGGCGCAAGCCUGAUCCAGCCAUACCGCGUGGGUGAAGAAGGCCUUCGGUUUGUAAAGCCCUUUUGUUGGGAAAGAAAAGCAGCAGGUUAAUACCCCGCUGUUCUGACGGUACCCAAAGAAUAAGCACCGGCUAACUUCGUG